GACGAACGCUGGCGGCGUGCUUAACACAUGCAAGUCGAACGGAAAGGCCCUGCUUUUGUGGGGUGCUCGAGUGGCGAACGGGUGAGUAACACGUGAGUAACCUGCCCUUGACUUUGGGAUAACUUCAGGAAACUGGGGCUAAUACCGGAUAGGAGCUCCUGCUGCAUGGUGGGGGUUGGAAAGUUUCGGCGGUUGGGGAUGGACUCGCGGCUUAUCAGCUUGUUGGUGGGGUAGUGGCUUACCAAGGCUUUGACGGGUAGCCGGCCUGAGAGGGUGACCGGCCACAUGGGGACGGAGAUACGGCCCAGACUCCUACGGGAGGCAGCAGGGGGGAAUAUUGCACAAUGGGCGGAGGCCGGAUGCAGCAACGCGGCGGGCGGGAUGACGGCCUUCGGGUUGUAAACCGCUUUCGCCUGUGCCGAAGCGUGAGUGACGGUAAUGGGUAAAGAAGCACCGGCUAACUACGU
This 467-nucleotide ribosomal RNA is filed under the name uncultured bacterium. Its description in RNAcentral is "partial 16S ribosomal RNA". It matches the Rfam family "Bacterial small subunit ribosomal RNA", at positions 28 to 506 of the family's 1533-position model. The record is from RNAcentral.